This 738-nucleotide long non-coding RNA is filed under the name Equus caballus (horse). Its description in RNAcentral is "lncRNA (ENSECAG00000047812.1)". Lineage: Eukaryota; Metazoa; Chordata; Mammalia; Perissodactyla; Equidae. The record is from RNAcentral.
UGCUGCUUGGGCAGAGCAGUCCAUAUGGUUUCCAGAGGAAGAUUCCAAUGAGCUGAGGAUGGAGAUUCGGGCAGUACAUGGAGCCGGGAAGUUGGGAAAAAGACUCACUUCAGACCCAAGCCGACCCCGCGCAGUGGCCUUGUGACACGUCGCCCGCCUCCCGGCAUCUGUCUGUUACCACAAUGAGCUGCCCUGUUCCUGCCGAAAGCCAGACCGUCUCCAUGUACGUUGAGUCCAGACUCCUCUCGUCUGCUCCCAGACAUCACCCCGGUCAGCUGGGGGCUCUGCCACAUCUCUCUGGACUCUGUCACCCAGACCAAUAGAGGAGCCAUCAUCUUAAACGUUGCUGAUUACUGUGGCAAAGAGAAAGAAAGGCCUAGAAGGUCUCCCAUUGGCAGCCAAGUGCUCCAGCUCACCAAUGUUACACCUCACUUCUAUUCAAAAUGCCCCGCAAGGGGGCCGGCCUAUACAAUCUACUGUUUCUAAGGGCAAGAGCUGGAAGGGUUGGAGGACAGCACCCCUGUCGCCCCUAGAAAGCCUCUUUACUGAGAUGUGGCCCACAGGGAGUUUGUCAAUAAAGGAGGUUCAAAGAAGAACAGUUACCUGAAGGACGUUUCAUGUCAAGCAGAUAAGAGUUACAGAGCUCUCGGCAGUCUGCAGGGGUCCAACUUCAAGGUAAAAUGUUCAAAAUUAGUACUAGAUCAUUCACUGAUUGGUAAUAAUGAAAAAUUAAUAAAG